CUUUCAUGAAUAUUGCUAAUGCUUGUUAUGCUGGACAUUGUGACACCAAGAUGUGACAUCACAGUCUUACUGUAUCUGGCCCUGGAAUUUUGUGAGCAGAGCUUACUGGAAGGAACUGGAAGCCUGUCUGUUGAAUGUUCUUUGCAUCAUCAGAUAUGUAACAUUAUCAAUUUGAAUCCAGUCCAAUGCUGUUCAUGACCUUUUCCCAGCCAAGUAAGUCAAUAAAUUAGUCAAGUAAGAAGUACUUCAUUGUUCAUGUUUCAAAUCAUCAUUGAUGGCUAUAAAAAAAAAAAGACAUGCUCUGGAUUUCACUCUGUAACCCAAGGAAAGAAAUAACCAAGUCAUGUUCUAAGUGGAAUUGCCAGUACGUACUUCUAAAAGGAAAACACAUGAACCAUGGGAGUUCCCCGCCAGGGACAAACAUGUGAUAUUACAAAGGUAUAACAGUGCCUCCUUCAGAUCUGGCUGCUCCACACUGACCCACCAAUGUUUGUAUCCUCAGAAAAGGAAACUGAAGCAGACCAAAGACCCAGCAUCAGAGGAAACUCAAUUCCAAGAUGCCUGCUGUGCAGUGGCCUUGCUUUCCCCAUAAUGUCAAAAUAAAUAUAAAAGAAUUACCUCAAAAUGAAGGGCA
Leopardus geoffroyi (Geoffroy's cat) is the source of this 634-nucleotide long non-coding RNA. RefSeq lists it as uncharacterized. Lineage: Eukaryota; Metazoa; Chordata; Mammalia; Carnivora; Felidae. The transcript is spliced from 5 exons. The record is from RefSeq and is a predicted model, not a curated record.